GACGAACCGAGCGAACGUUGUUCGGAAUCACUGGGCUUAAAGGGCGCGUAGGCGGGCUGUCAAGUCUGGGGUGAAAUCCCGCGGCUCAACCGCGGAACUGCCUCAGAUACUGACGGUCUCGAGGGGGGUAGGGGCGAGCGGAACUGAUGGUGGAGCGGUGAAAUGCGUUGAUAUCAUCAGGAACUCCGGUGGCGAAGGCGGCUCGCUGGACCUCUUCUGACGCUGAGGCGCGAAAGCCAGGGGAGCAAACGGG
This 253-nucleotide ribosomal RNA is filed under the name uncultured bacterium. Its description in RNAcentral is "partial 16S ribosomal RNA". It matches the Rfam family "Bacterial small subunit ribosomal RNA", at positions 524 to 776 of the family's 1533-position model. The record is from RNAcentral.